GAUGAACGCUGGCGGAGUGCCUAACACAUGCAAGUCGAGCGGCAGCGGGAGUAGUUUACUACUUGCCGGCGAGCGGCGGACGGCUGAGUAACGCGUGGGAACGUGCCCCAAAGUGAGGAAUAACUGCCCGAAAGGGUAGCUAAUGCCGCAUAUGAUCUUCGGAUUAAAGGAUUUAUCCGCUUUGGGAGCGGCCCGCGUCAGAUUAGGUAGUUGGUGAGGUAAAGGCUCACCAAGCCGACGAUCUGUAGCUGGUCUGAGAGGAUGACCAGCCAGACUGGAACUGAGACACGGUCCAGACUCCUACGGGAGGCAGCAGUGAGGAAUCUUCCACAAUGGACGAAAGUCUGAUGGAGCAACUCCGCGUGCAGGAUGAAGGCCCUCGGGUCGUAAACUGCUUUUAUGAGUGAAGAAUAUGACGGUAACUCAUGAAUAAGGGUCGGCUAACUACGUGCCAGCAGCCGCGGU
Molecule: ribosomal RNA, 465 nt
Filed under: uncultured bacterium
Lineage: Bacteria
Description: bacterial SSU rRNA
Rfam family: Bacterial small subunit ribosomal RNA
Source: RNAcentral